This 404-nucleotide ribosomal RNA is filed under the name uncultured microorganism. RNAcentral describes it as "bacterial SSU rRNA". It matches the Rfam family "Archaeal small subunit ribosomal RNA", at positions 330 to 739 of the family's 1478-position model. The record is from RNAcentral.
GCGCAGCAGGCGAGAAAACUUUACAAUGUGCGAAAGCACGAUAAGGGAACUCUGAGUGCCUCCUAAGGAGGCUGUUCAGGUGUCUAAAAAGCACCUGGAGUAAGGGCUGGGUAAGACCGGUGCCAGCCGCCGCGGUAACACCGGCAGCCCAGGUGGUAGCCACUUUUAUUGGGUCUAAAGCGUCCGUAGCCGGUUGAGUAAGUUCCUUGGGAAAUUUGGCUGCUCAACAGUCAAGCUUCCAGGGAAUACUGCUCGACUUGGGACUGGGAGAGGUCAGAGGUACUCCAGGGGUAGGGGUGAAAUCCAUUAAUCCCUGGGGGACCACCGGUAGCGAAGGCGUCUGACCAGACCAGGUCCGACGGUGAGGGACGAAGGCUAGGGUCGCGAACCGGAUUAGAUACCCG